ACGAACGCUGGCGGCAGGCUUAACACAUGCAAGUCGAACGCCCCGCAAGGGGAGUGGCAGACGGGUGAGUAACGCGUGGGAAUCUACCGUACCCUACGGAAUAACGCAUGGAAACGUGUGCUAAUACCGUAUACGCCCUUUGGGGGAAAGAUUUAUCGGGGUAUGAUGAGCCCGCGUUGGAUUAGCUAGUUGGUGGGGUAAAGGCCUACCAAGGCGACGAUCCAUAGCUGGUCUGAGAGGAUGAUCAGCCACAUUGGGACUGAGACACGGCCCAAGCUCCUACGGGGGGCAGCAGUGGGGAAUAUUGGACAAUGGGCGCAAGCCUGAUCCAGCCAUGCCGGGUGAGUGAUGAAGGCCCUAGGGUUGUAAAGCUCUUUCACCGGUGAAGAUAAUGACGGUAACCGGAGAAGAAGCCCCGGCUAACUUCGU
Molecule: ribosomal RNA, 429 nt
Filed under: uncultured bacterium
Lineage: Bacteria
Description: bacterial SSU rRNA
Rfam family: Bacterial small subunit ribosomal RNA
Source: RNAcentral